GCCAGCCAGACAUCGAUUGGUUCACUUAUCCUUCACUCCGCGAGACAGGCGAGACUGCAGGGCUCUGGAGCGCGUUUUUGAAUUUGUAGCGCGUAUAGAGUCCGUGAGGUACCUUGUGGAGUUCGUGCUGUGGCUGGAGCCAGCUACUCAGGGUGAACUCUGAAGUCCUGAGCUAUGGCAGAACUCAAGCCCCUCAAGUCACAUAGAAAUCUACCCAUCAAACACUGGAUUGCCAUGUGCCAGGUAAAAAGAUCAGAGCUACAAAAUAAUUGACUAAUUACUUCAAAAGUGACAACAUCCCUCUUCAAAAUGAAAGGACAAAAACAAACACAUACAAAAAGCGCCUGCCCCUGGCUCAGCGCCCGGUGCCAACAGAACACCUUUCAGGAUUCACAGCAGCGCAGACAACUCCAGGAUCCCGGCCUCUGAUUGGAACAGAACAGUGUCAUGGCGGAGACGACGGCCUUUGUCUUGCUGGAUGUGAAAACAUCCGCUGUGCUGGCUCCACUGCGGCAGAAUCAAGUUUAAAGGAAAAAAAGUGAUUAAAGUCAGCUUUGUGCCUCUUUGGUGUGGAAGACCCACAGACCUCAAGUAGCCGACUCCCAGGUCCGAGGAAGGGCUCAUAGUUGGAGCAGCCUAGGCUGUAAUCCUGGCACUGGCGCCUUCGGUUGCUGCUUGCUGUUCGCUCCUGGGGGUCUGGAUAAUCUCCCUUGGCUUUACCGCACUGUCUGGCCCGCAUACAGGGCCCCGUAACAUAUACCCGCUCCUGCUAUCACACGAAACUGUGGCGUUGCCCCUGAAUGGAUGGCACCGUGCCAACUCUUCUGCCAUCCGCCCUUGCAGCUUUUUUCUUUCCUCCCUCCCUCCCCUUCUUCUCCUCCUCCCGUCGACUUGACGUUAAUUAACACACGGGUUAAUUGAUUUUAAAAGCCGAAGAAUUACAGUUAACUUUUCCCACAGGGUACAGACGCCAGCCGCUUGGCACACUCUGCCUUUCGCACUAGUUAGUGCAGGGGGGCAGGGAAAGCCCACAGCAAAACUAGCAACUGCUGAAGGAACGUUGCUUGCUUAUUGGAGUAGAGCCGACAGAAGUCGACGUGGCACUGCCUCAUCCUUUGCAAUAUAUGUAGCCAUUAUAUAUUUUGCUAAAUAAUCAAAACAGAACCCUAGCUUUCUUCUCCCUUCCUCUUUCAAAAUGGGAAAACCUUUCUGAAGUUCACUUAGAGGGGGGGAAAAACCCUCCCCAGGACCAUUUAUCUCAUCUAUAAUAUGCUUUUUUUCCCCAGCAUCAUGAAAAUAACCAGUGCCUUUUAAUUUUUUAAUCUUUAUAUAUUUAUUUUUUAGUUUGAAAAAAGGAAGUCUCUCCCUUCCUUUAAUAUUACUGGCAUAGGAGAUUAUUAUUUUAAAGAAAAAGUUCCAUGAAGUUUUUUUCUAUACCUGAGUGUUUUGUUUGGUUUCCAUUCCUCUUGACCUAAAUGGGUUAUUUAUUGUAAAAGAUUACAGUGAGAAAGUAGGUAAAUUUUAAUUAAGAACAAAAUCCAUACCAAAGCUCUUUGUUUUUUUGUUUGUAUGUGAGUAUAUUUUUACUGUCUGCUUCCCCCCAAUGAAAUGAAAGCAAUUGAUACUGUAGUUGGAAAGCAGAGGCAAAGCUGAGAACUUGAUGCUUUCACCUUUUCAUGCUUUCAUUUAUUUCAUUUUGUUUUUUAAAAGCAUGCAGCAAGUGAAGCGACAAGAGGAAUCCAUUAUGCAAAUCAUGUCACUUUGCAUAAUGUCUCGUGACUGGAAUAUGCAAAUUAGCUGUAUAAUUUAUGAGUGCCAGUGUCUGUCUAAAAGUGUUUCACAUAAUUUACAAAGUAAGCCUGAGAGACAUUGGGAAGGCAGCUCUUCCAACUCCAUUGCUAGGAAUGCUCUGUGUAUUUUCCUACAAGUGCCCACUCAUAAUACCUAAUAUCAUCAAGUGCAGUUUAAGAAAUUAAGGUUCCACAUGUUCGUGAAAGACAAAGAUUUUCCUCUAACUCUAUUUGUCCAUUGAUUUUUUGCCUAAAACUUUGCCAGAAACUUAGAUCCUCAUACCUUAAUUUUCAGAUUUAACUUCAAAAAACAAAAAACUUAUUAAAGCCAAACAUGCUAUUUGU
Heterocephalus glaber (naked mole-rat) is the source of this 2135-nucleotide long non-coding RNA. The record is from Ensembl. Lineage: Eukaryota; Metazoa; Chordata; Mammalia; Rodentia; Bathyergidae.